AUUGAACGCUGGCGGCAUGCCUUACACAUGCAAGUCGAACGGUAACAGGUCUUCGGAUGCUGACGAGUGGCGAACGGGUGAGUAAUACAUCGGAACGUGCCCGAUCGUGGGGGAUAACGAAGCGAAAGCUUUGCUAAUACCGCAUACGAUCUACGGAUGAAAGCAGGGGACCGCAAGGCCUUGCGCGAACGGAGCGGCCGAUGGCAGAUUAGGUAGUUGGUGGGAUAAAAGCUUACCAAGCCGACGAUCUGUAGCUGGUCUGAGAGGACGACCAGCCACACUGGGACUGAGACACGGCCCAGACUCCUACGGGAGGCAGCAGUGGGGAAUUUUGGACAAUGGGCGAAAGCCUGAUCCAGCCAUGCCGCGUGCAGGAUGAAGGCCUUCGGGUUGUAAACUGCUUUUGUACGGAACGAAAAGACUCUGGUUAAUACCUGGGGUCCAUGACGGUACCGUAAGAAUAAGCACCGGCUAACUACGUGCCAGCCGCCGCAGUAA
RNAcentral lists this ribosomal RNA (498 nucleotides) under uncultured bacterium. RNAcentral describes it as "partial 16S ribosomal RNA". It matches the Rfam family "Bacterial small subunit ribosomal RNA", at positions 30 to 523 of the family's 1533-position model. The record is from RNAcentral.